UUUGACUUUCCAUCUUUUAGUUUCAUCCAGCCGUCCUCUAACCCCCAAACAUCUGAACUUUCUCUUCUCUCUGUUAGCUUAGCCGCACAACCAUCGCUCUCAUCUCUCUGAGCAGGGUAUUUUGCAUAAGAAGAACUUUUAUCAUUUCACACUGAUUUCUGCAGCAACCAUCGCUCUCUUAUCUUCUACAAUCGCUCCAAAAGUUCAUCUACUAGUCCUAUGUCAAACGUAAGUUCAACUCCUACACCAACCUCUGCACAAACUGUGGAUAUUUCAUCAAAUGCUAUUUCCUCACUUCCACCACAGAAUAACUUAAAAAGAAAAGCUGCAGCUCGGUCUAAUGUGUGGGAACAUUUUGAUAAGAUAAAGAAGGAAGAAUGUACAAAUGAUGAUGAACCUAGGUGCAUAUGUAAGUACUGUAAGCAAGAUUAUGGAUGUGACUCCCGUAA
Non-coding RNA from Prunus avium (sweet cherry), 449 nucleotides. NCBI's taxonomy places the organism in Eukaryota, Viridiplantae, Streptophyta, Magnoliopsida, Rosales, Rosaceae. The record is from RefSeq and is a predicted model, not a curated record.